This 203-nucleotide long non-coding RNA is filed under the name Panax ginseng (ginseng). Its description in RNAcentral is "long non-coding RNA (PGIN_LNC003980)". The record is from RNAcentral. Lineage: Eukaryota; Viridiplantae; Streptophyta; Magnoliopsida; Apiales; Araliaceae.
UACUAUCAUCUAUGAAUUUAAAAGUCCAUCAUCAAUAUUUUAUCCUUGUAACAUCAAUCAACAUACAUCUUGCAUCAAAUAUUCAUCUUUGCACUACGGGCCAAAGAUAUUCAUUUGUAUCACCAGUUGGUCAUGUUCAUCUCAACACCUGUUCAUCUUUGCACUACGGGCCAAAGAUAUUCAUCAGGUAAUCAUUCAUCUUU